AAAAGUCGUAACAAGGUUUCCGUAGGUGAACCUGCGGAAGGAUCAUUAUCGUUAAAUCGAGGCGUGAGGGCUGUCGCUGACCUUCCCCGGUCGUGCACGCCCGAGCCCUCUCACAAUCCAUCUCACCCUUUGUGCAUCACCGCGUGGGUCCCCCUUUGCCGGAGGGCCCGCGUCUUUACACAAAACUCGAUACAGUGUAGAAUGUUUAUUUUCGCGCUCGCACGCGAUCAAUAAUACAACUUUCAACAACGGAUCUCUUGGCUCUCGCAUCGAUGAAGAACGCAGCGAAAUGCGAUACGUAAUGUGAAUUGCAGAAUUCAGUGAAUCAUCGAAUCUUUGAACGCACCUUGCGCCCCUUGGCAUUCCGAGGGGCACACCCGUUUGAGUGUCGUGAAAUCUUCAAAAACCCUCUCUUUUGAGGGGGAUUUUUGGACUUGGAGGUUCAAUGCUCGCUUUCGCCUUUUAGAAAGCGAGCUCCUCUCAAACGAAUCAGUGGGGUCUGCUUUGCCGGUCCUUGACGUGAUAAGAUCUUUCUACGUUUUGGAUUCGACAUCGUCCCGCUUCCAAUCGUCCCACGGACAAAGGAUGGUGCUCCGGUCGCGGCCGGACCCACCAAAAAUUCCUUGACCUCAAAUCGGGUGAGACUACCCGCUGAACUUAAGCAUAUCAAUAAGCGGAGGA
RNAcentral lists this ribosomal RNA (681 nucleotides) under Russula laricina. RNAcentral describes it as "eukaryotic LSU rRNA". The stretch from base 238 to 391 matches the Rfam family "5.8S ribosomal RNA". Lineage: Eukaryota; Fungi; Basidiomycota; Agaricomycetes; Russulales; Russulaceae. The record is from RNAcentral.